ACACGACUACAUUAGAUACCCCUGUAGUCCUAGCCGUAAACGAUACUCGCUAGGUGUCGGCCACGGUGCGACCGUUGUCGGUGCCGUAGGGAAGCCGUGAAGCGAGCCACCUGGGAAGUACGGCCGCAAGGCUGAAACUUAAAGGAAUUGGCGGGGGAGCACCGCAACGGGAGGAGCGUGCGGUUCAAUUGGAUUCAACGCCGGACAACUCACCAGGAGCGACGGUUACACGAAGGCCAGGCUGAUGACCUUGCCUGAUUUUCCG
RNAcentral lists this ribosomal RNA (265 nucleotides) under uncultured archaeon. Its description in RNAcentral is "partial 16S ribosomal RNA". It matches the Rfam family "Archaeal small subunit ribosomal RNA", at positions 717 to 982 of the family's 1478-position model. The record is from RNAcentral.